UACGGAGGGUGCAAGCGUUGCUCGGAAUUAUUGGGCGUAAAGCGCGUGUAGGCGGCUAUUUAAGUCUGGUGUUAAAGCCCGGGGCCUAACCCCGGAAGUGCACUGGAUACUGGAUGGCUAGAGGACGGGAGAGGAGAGUGGAAUUCCUGGUGUAGGGGUGAAAUCCGUAGAUAUCAGGAGGAAAAUCGGAAGCCAAGGCGGCUCUCUGGCCCGUAUCUGACGCUCAGACGCGAAAGCGUGGGUAGCAAACAGG
This 253-nucleotide ribosomal RNA is filed under the name uncultured bacterium. RNAcentral describes it as "partial 16S ribosomal RNA". It matches the Rfam family "Bacterial small subunit ribosomal RNA", at positions 524 to 776 of the family's 1533-position model. The record is from RNAcentral.